GUUGCAUAUAUUAGAGGCACAUGGUGGAUGCCUAGGGAUAUCAAGGCGACGAAGGACGUGACGUGACUGCGAAAAGCCUCGGGGAGGUGUCUAGUAACCUUUGAUCCGGGGAUGUCCGAAUGGGGAAACCCCUUUGCGAGAAAUCGUGAAGAGUCCAGCCGCAAGGUUGGGCGGCGAACCCGCUGAAGUAAAACAUUCUAGUAAGCGGAGGAAAAGACAACACAUUGUGAUUCCCUUAGUAGCGGCGAGCGAAAAGGGAUCAGUCUAAACUCAAUAUCGCAAGAUAUUGGGGGUUGAAAGGGGAUAGCGUCGGGGCUUUAUCCCCCACCCGAUUAUAGGGGGUGGGGGAUGGAGUAUUCGAGGGAGAAUAUAAAGGUUGGUUAGGAGAAUGCUUCUGGAAAGAAGCAGCCAAAGAGGGUAAUAGCCCCGUAUCUGAAAACUACUUUAUGCUCCUUGUUAUCUUUCUUAAGUACCUCGGGACAUGAAUAGCCCGUGGGAAGCAGGCCGAACUAAUCGGCCAAGACUAAAUACUUGAUAUCACCGAUAGUGAACCAGUACCGUGAGGGAAAGGUGAAAAGAAGCCCGAUGAGGGCAGUGAAAUAGAUCCUGAAUCCAUGGUGCCUACAACGAGUCGGAGCUCUGACGCAAGUCAGGGUGACGGCGUGCUUUUUGCAGAACGAGCCAACGAGUGUACUUAGGUGCUACGUCUAAGCCCUUCUGGGGCGGAGGCACAGCGAAAGCGAGUGUGAAUAACGCGAACAAUUAGCUCCUAUGUACGACCCGAAGCCAAGCGAGCUUGCCAUGACCAGGGUGAACCCCGACGAAAGUCGGGGGGAGGCCCGAACCCGUGAGCCGUUCAAUACUCUGGGAUGAGUUGUGGUAAGAAGUGAAAAGCUAAUCGAGCUUGGUAAUAGCUGGUUCUCCCCGAAAUAGUUUUAGGACUAGCGUCGAUUGCAGGUCUUGGAGGUAGAGCUCUGGAAAGAAUAUUUUGGCGCAAGCCAGAUAUUCUUACCAAACUUCGAAUGCCAGGAUCAUAAGGAUCGGCAGUAAGAACGUGGGGGCUAAGCUCCACGCUCAAAAGGGAAACAGCCCAGAUCUUCAUCUAAGGUCCCUAAAUCAAGCUAAGUGCAAAACGAGGAAGUGGAAUUCCACAGAUAGCUAGGAGGUUCGCUCAGAAGCAGCUAUCCUUUAAAAAGUGCGUAACAGCUUACUAGCUAAGGAGUUCUGCGCCAAAGAUUUACAGGGGCUAAGCUUGAUACCGAAGACAAGAAUAUGCACCUCGUGUGCAUAUGGUAGGGGAGCGUCCUUGUUGCGCUGAAGCGGAAGGGGAACCUUCCGUGGAGCGACAAGGAGUGAGAA
RNAcentral lists this ribosomal RNA (1359 nucleotides) under bacterium. RNAcentral's name for it is "partial 23S ribosomal RNA". It matches the Rfam family "Bacterial large subunit ribosomal RNA", at positions 1 to 1294 of the family's 2925-position model. The record is from RNAcentral.